AAAGCCAUGAAAUCUCUACGGCUGCCCCAGGAUGUGACAACUCAUAAUAUUCUAGGACCUAAGACUUCAUAAAAUAGCUGUCAAAUAAACACAUUGCUAGGAGGAUCACCUCAACCUGUAGGAGCUUCCUUCCUGCCAAGAAGCUGGUUCAUUCACCACUGAGCAUCAUCAUCAUGGAAUAUUCAGAGAUGAACAGUGAUGAUGAUGAUGAUAUCUACGUCCCUACUACGUGCCAGACCCUAAACAAACUGCUGUGUAAUAAUUAUUUCAUUCAUUCAUCACUGCAACCCCAUGAGGUCAGUAUUUCUGUUUCCAUUGUAAGAAAAUAAAACUUUAAGGUUAAAUUACUCCUGUAAGCUCACUCAGCAAGAAAGUAAAAGAGCUGAGAUUUGAACCAGGUCUUGUCUGGGCCUAAUACCAGUAAAUGCAACCUCUCUUGGUCUGUUUUUCCUUCUGUAAACUCCGGAUCAUAGUUGCUAUCUCAGAGGGCUGAUGGGAGGAUGAAAUAGAACAGUGUUGCAAAAUGCUUAGCGUAGAAUACCUGGUAGAAUUUUCUCUUUGGAGAUGGUAAAGAGAAGAGAAGAGAGAAG
This 590-nucleotide long non-coding RNA is filed under the name Cercocebus atys (sooty mangabey). RNAcentral's name for it is "lncRNA (ENSCATG00000045720.1)". Lineage: Eukaryota; Metazoa; Chordata; Mammalia; Primates; Cercopithecidae. The record is from RNAcentral.